RNAcentral lists this non-coding RNA (29 nucleotides) under Homo sapiens (human). Lineage: Eukaryota; Metazoa; Chordata; Mammalia; Primates; Hominidae. The record is from RNAcentral.
UAAACUGUCAUGGAGCUGGUAGGAGUGUC